AAGUCCUACGGGGCGCAGCAGUGGGGAAUAUUGGACAAUGGGGGGAACCCUGAGCCAGCGACGCCGCGUGAGUGAAGAAGUAUUUCGGUAUGUAAAGCUCUAUCAGCAGGGAAGAAAAUGACGGUACCUGACUAAGAAGCCCCGGCUAACUACGUGCCAGCAGCCGCGGUAAUACGUAGGGGGCAAGCGUUAUCCGGAUUUACUGGGUGUAAAGGGAGCGUAGGCGGUUCAGCAAGUCAGAAGUGAAAGCCCGGGGCUC
This 259-nucleotide ribosomal RNA is filed under the name uncultured bacterium. RNAcentral describes it as "partial 16S ribosomal RNA". It matches the Rfam family "Bacterial small subunit ribosomal RNA", at positions 334 to 610 of the family's 1533-position model. The record is from RNAcentral.